GAAGACCUAACUUUCUUUCAAAGAAAUCAAUGAAAGGAAUGUUUUGUUUUCUAAUUAAUUUCUAAAAAACAAAAAGUGUAAUCAAAAGUGUAUGCCGAAAGCAAUUACGAAAAAUGAUCAUGGUCUUUAGUGGUGCAUGGAAUCAAAGAUAUGGUCGACAUGAUGUUGAGGAAAGCAAGGAUUUUUUUUAGUAUUUUAUCAAGGGUGGCCUCAAUGUAAUUGCAUUUUAUAGGGCAAAGUGAAUAAAAUAUUCUUUUAGAAAAAUUCCACUUUAAUCUUUUAAGAAUUGUCUUAUUUUAGAAAAAUUCCACCAAAAUCUUUCAAUCUUUCAGAAGAAUUCCAUUAUAAUCUUUAAGUUUUUUUUUUUUAAGUUAUAGAAAUUUCUUGUUGAGAUAAGUAAAGAUUCGAAAGUAAAGGUUAAAGGCUAAUGGACUGUUUAAAUACACUUAUAAUCCCUUUUUUUUUUUUAAUUCGUCCGUGAAAAUUACAACAAAAGCAAUUUUUUUUUAUUGUACAUUCAUUAUUCAAUCCGCCAAUAUUUUUUUUAAUCCAUCUGUGAAAAUCACAACACAUGUAAAUUUUUUAUUGUACAUUUAUUAUUCAAUUCCAUUUUUCUCCAAAAAAAUUUAGUAUGCGCAUUUUUUCAAAUUUGUGGCAUGCACAUCAAGUAGAGCUCGAGUCCAAAACUUUGAGUCUUAGAAAGGCUUCCCUUAUAAUUGGAGCUAAAUCUAGCCUCUAACAUAGUAUGUGUCCUUUCUUCAAUUUGCAACUUUUUGUCAGACCAAAAAUCGAUUUAAUUUGUAAUGUUACUUAAAUCA
RNAcentral lists this long non-coding RNA (818 nucleotides) under Citrus sinensis (sweet orange). RNAcentral's name for it is "long non-coding RNA (CSIN_LNC005477)". The record is from RNAcentral. Lineage: Eukaryota; Viridiplantae; Streptophyta; Magnoliopsida; Sapindales; Rutaceae.